Molecule: non-coding RNA, 23 nt
Filed under: Rattus norvegicus (Norway rat)
Lineage: Eukaryota; Metazoa; Chordata; Mammalia; Rodentia; Muridae
Source: RNAcentral
UGCCUAUCUGUACAUGUCUGCGA